This 343-nucleotide unclassified non-coding RNA is filed under the name Hevea brasiliensis (rubber tree). The record is from RNAcentral. Lineage: Eukaryota; Viridiplantae; Streptophyta; Magnoliopsida; Malpighiales; Euphorbiaceae.
UGAACAUUGCUUCUUUGUGAGGUGUUGCAUCUCCAUUUGUUUCAAUCACAUUAUGAGAGGGAAGUGGCCAAUAAUGUGAUGCUUAUUCACGAUAUCAAUGAGGGAUUUUUUUAAUGCUUCUGUUUGCUAUCCAUCCAAUCAUUUGGAUUUCAACACAUGCUUUGUUGAUACCAUGUUUUGUGGAUGUAAGGCAUCUAUUUGAAUCAAUUUAGAUGGAAAUAUGAGCUUGCUUCCUGAUACAAUUCCUUUCAUUUUUCUUUUUCUUCUCUAUAUGCUUGUGUCUCAUACAUGGUGUGGCGUUGUUGAUGCUAUAUCUCACAGGUGAUGGAAAUGUUUAGGAGAA